CGGGGUGUGGCGCAGCUUGGAAGCGCGCUUCGUUCGGGUCGAAGAGGUCGUGGGUUCAAAUCCCGCCACCCCGA
This 74-nucleotide transfer RNA is filed under the name Saccharopolyspora dendranthemae. RNAcentral's name for it is "tRNA-Pro(cgg)". It matches the Rfam family "tRNA". From Rfam's summary of the family: Transfer RNA (tRNA) molecules are approximately 80 nucleotides in length. Their secondary structure includes four short double-helical elements and three loops (D, anti-codon, and T loops). RNAcentral also lists the same sequence under 1 other name. Lineage: Bacteria; Bacillati; Actinomycetota; Actinomycetes; Pseudonocardiales; Pseudonocardiaceae. The record is from RNAcentral.